This 301-nucleotide ribosomal RNA is filed under the name uncultured bacterium. RNAcentral describes it as "partial 16S ribosomal RNA". It matches the Rfam family "Bacterial small subunit ribosomal RNA", at positions 509 to 807 of the family's 1533-position model. The record is from RNAcentral.
CAGUAGCCACGGUAAUACGAAGGGUGCAAGCGUUACUCGGAAUUACUGGGCGUAAAGCGUGCGUAGGUGGUGGUUUAAGUCCGUUGUGAAAGCCCUGGGCUCAACCUGGGAAUUGCAGUGGAUACUGGGUCACUAGAGUGUGGUAGAGGAUAGUGGAAUUUCCGGUGUAGCAGUGAAAUGCGUAGAGAUCGGAAGGAACAUCUGUGGCGAAGGCGACUAUCUGGGCCAACACUGACACUGAGGCACGAAGGCGUGGGGAGCAAACAGGAUUAGAUACCCCCGUAGUCCCUGUCUCUUAUAC